This is a ribosomal RNA of Candidozyma haemuli, 118 nucleotides long. The record is from RefSeq and is a predicted model, not a curated record. Lineage: Eukaryota; Fungi; Ascomycota; Pichiomycetes; Serinales; Metschnikowiaceae.
UGCGGCCAUGCCGAGUGGGAAAAUACUGUUUCCCGUCCGAUCAACAACUGUCAAGCCACUCAGGGACACAGUGAGUAAUACAGUGGGAGACCAUGUGUGAAAUUGUGGUGCUGCAAUU